Non-coding RNA from Rattus norvegicus (Norway rat), 63 nucleotides. Lineage: Eukaryota; Metazoa; Chordata; Mammalia; Rodentia; Muridae. The record is from Rfam.
GGGGAUUUGGCUCAGUGGUAGAGCGCUUGCCUAGCAAGCGCAAGGUCCUGGGUUCAGUCCCCA